UGGGGAAUUUUGGACAAUGGGCGCAAGCCUGAUCCAGCCAUGCCGCGUGUCUGAAGAAGGCCUUCGGGUUGUAAAGGACUUUUGUCAGGGAAGAAAAGGCUGUUGCUAAUAUCGACAGCUGAUGACGGUACCUGAAGAAUAAGCACCGGCUAACUACGUGCCAGCAGCCGCGGUAAUACGUAGGGUGCGAGCGUUAAUCGGAAUUACUGGGCGUAAAGCGAGCGCAGACGGUUACUUAAGCAGGAUGUGAAAUCCCCGGGCUCAACCUGGGAACUGCGUUCUGAACUGGGUGACUAGAGUGUGUCAGAGGGAGGUAGAAUUCCACGUGUAGCAGUGAAAUGCGUAGAGAUGUGGAGGAAUACCGAUGGCGAAGGCAGCCUCCUGGGAUAACACUGACGUUCAUGCUCGAAAGCGUGGGUAGCAAACAGGAUUAGAUACCCUGGUAGUCCACGCCCUAAACGAUGUCAAUUAGCUGUUGGGCAACUUGAUUGCUUAGUAGCGUAGCUNACGCGUGAAAUUGACCGCCUGGGGAGUACGGUCGCAAGAUUA
This 549-nucleotide ribosomal RNA is filed under the name uncultured bacterium. Its description in RNAcentral is "bacterial SSU rRNA". It matches the Rfam family "Bacterial small subunit ribosomal RNA", at positions 355 to 896 of the family's 1533-position model. The record is from RNAcentral.